Molecule: long non-coding RNA, 892 nt
Organism: Neopsephotus bourkii (Bourke's parrot)
Lineage: Eukaryota; Metazoa; Chordata; Aves; Psittaciformes; Psittacidae
Exons: 4
Source: RefSeq, a predicted model, not a curated record
GAUAUUUGCUUUUCUCUUUUCUGGGUGGAAGCCUUAAGCCAAUGUGAAUUACCGUGACGGGGAAGGCCUGCCAAGAUCUCUUUCUGAAUAGUACUAAAAUGUCUCUGGAAUCCAUUCUGUAUGAGGAAAGCACAGACAGUACCUUUCCUCCAGCUCUCGCAAGCUAGGUUGGAGUAAUCCUUUGAUGAGAGAACCUUGACGGUGUUUCAGAAGAGGAAGAAAAUCCGCCUCUGCAGAGUCACUAGAGACUUUGCCUAUUACUAAUUGAUUCUACACGGAGAGCACGCAGUGGUGACAGCCAUCAGUCUGAAACGUAUGGUUUUCCGUGUAGCAGCAGUGGUCUCUCUGACUACCAUCCAUUCCAGGGUGCUGCCGAACACACACAUCUCUGGGCUCUUCAGCUGGGUGGACUACAGGACUAUGUCUGCAAGAAAUUUUGGAAUAAUGGAGAAUGAAAUAUCGUCCCAGUGCAAACUUCUCCCAUCCAGCAGGAAAUUGUACCUCAGGGGAUGGAUCACUGCGAGACGAGACAUUGCCAACAAAACGUCACGCGGUGAGAGCUGUGUGAUGAAAUGACAAGGAUCAACCAAUAUCAGUGAUGUUAUAGCUUGUAAUAAUUAUUCUCAUGAGGCUGCUUCAUCCAUGCUAAAUAAACAGAAGGUUUUCAGGCGAGAGUUGCAGUUUGUGUCAGAAUCCAUUAGCCAAGCCCUAAAGCCAGGAGAAUGUACAGUAUGGGAACUUGAUGCAUCUUUUCUAUGUAAAGGGUGGUUAUGUUUAAAUAGGCUCAGGUUAGCUGGGUUUUUUUCAUUCCUGGGUCUCCAACUUUGCAUCUGUACUGCAGGAUUGGGAAGUGGCAUGGAGAACAGAUUAUUGCAGCCAGGUUCUCUGCACA